Molecule: ribosomal RNA, 467 nt
Filed under: uncultured bacterium
Lineage: Bacteria
Description: bacterial SSU rRNA
Rfam family: Bacterial small subunit ribosomal RNA
Source: RNAcentral
AAUCAACGCUGGCGGCGUGCCUAACACAUGCAAGUCGAGCGAGAAAAGGGGAGCAAUCCUCUGAGUACAGCGGCGCACGGGUGAGUAACACGUGGGUAAUCUGCCCUAGAGUGGGGAAUAACACCGGGAAACCGGUGCUAAUACCGCAUACGAUAACGGGGUCUGCGGAUUUCGUUAUGAAAGGAGCAAUUCGCUCUUGGAGGAGCCCGCGGCUGAUUAGCUAGUGGUGAGGUAAUGACUCACCAAGGCUUCGAUCAGUAGCCGGUCUGAGAGGACGGUCGGCCACACUGGAACUGAGACACGGUCCAGACUCCUACGGGAGGCAGCAGUCGGGAAUUUUGGGCAAUGGGCGCAAGCCUGACCCAGCAACGCCGCGUGAAGGAUGAAAUCCCUCGGAUGUAAACUUCGUAAGAAUAGAAGAAUAAGUGUAGGAUAAUACCUGCACUGAUGACGGUACUAUUCGUAAG